ACCGGUAUAGGUUAAUGGUAGACCACUCGUUUACCAAACGAAUUGUGCGAGUUCAAAUCUCGCUGCCGGUA
Non-coding RNA from Exophiala sp. CCFEE 6388, 71 nucleotides. Lineage: Eukaryota; Fungi; Ascomycota; Eurotiomycetes; Chaetothyriales; Herpotrichiellaceae. The record is from the annotation of a GenBank genome assembly.